AUCUCAUUGGCUUAAUGGUAAAGCAAAAUACUUCUAAUAUUUUGUAUUCUAGUUCGAUUCUGGAAUGAGGUU
Linnemannia hyalina is the source of this 72-nucleotide non-coding RNA. The record is from the annotation of a GenBank genome assembly. Lineage: Eukaryota; Fungi; Mortierellomycota; Mortierellomycetes; Mortierellales; Mortierellaceae.